UUUGAUCCUGGCUCAGGAUGAACGCUGGCGGUAUGCUUAACACAUGCAAGUCGAACGGAGUGCUUCGGCACAAUCUGGCUUCGGGUUCGGGACAACAGUGGGAAACUGCUGCUAAUACCGGAUGUGCCGCAAGGUAAAAGAUUAACUGCCCGAAGAUGAGCUCGCGUCCGAUUAGCUAGUUGGUGUGGUAAGAGCGCACCAAGGCACCGAUCGGUAGCUGGUCUGAGAGGACGAUCAGCCACACUGGGACUGAGACACGGCCCAGACUCCUACGGGAGGCAGCAGUGGGGAAUUUUCCGCAAUGGGCGAAAGCCUGACGGAGCAAUACCGCGUGAGGGAGGAAGGCUCUUGGGUUGUAAACCUCUUUUCUCAGGGAAGAGCACAAUGACGGUACCUGAGGAAUCAGCAUCGGCUAACUCCGUGCCAGCAGCCGCGGUAAUACGGAGGAUGCAAGCGUUAUCCGGAAUGAUUGGGCGUAAAGCGUCCGCAGGUGGCUUAUCAAGUCGAUUGUCAAAGGUCCUGGCUCAACUGGGAACAGGCAGUGGAAACUGAGAAGCUAGAGUGCGGUAGGGGUAGAGGGAAUUCCCGGUGUAGCGGUGAAAUGCGUAGAGAUCGGGAAGAACACCAGUGGCGAAAGCGCUCUACUAGGCCUGCACUGACACUCGGGGACGAAAGCUAGGGGAGCGAAUGGGAUUAGAUACCCCAGUAGUCCUAGCCGUAAACGAUGGAUACUAG
This 735-nucleotide ribosomal RNA is filed under the name uncultured cyanobacterium. RNAcentral describes it as "bacterial SSU rRNA". It matches the Rfam family "Bacterial small subunit ribosomal RNA", at positions 12 to 819 of the family's 1533-position model. The record is from RNAcentral. Lineage: Bacteria; Bacillati; Cyanobacteriota.